AGGGUUUGAUCCUGGCUCAGAACAAACGCUGGCGGCGUGCCUAAUACAUGCAAGUCGAACGAAGAACGUCCUUCGGGGCUAUUAAGGGUGGCGCACGGGUGAGUAACGCGUGGAUAAUCUGCCUUUUAGUGGGGAACAACUAAGCGAAAGUCUAGCUAAUACCGCAUAAGACCACAGUGCCUGCGGGUACAGGGGUUAAAGAUUUAUCGCUAAAAGAUGAGUCCGCGUCCAAUUAGCUUGUUGGUGAGGUAAAGGCUCACCAAGGCUCUGAUUGGUAGCUGGUCUGAGAGGAUGAUCAGUCACACUGGAACUGAGACACGGUCCAGACUCCUACGGGAGGCAGCAGUAGGGAAUAUUGCGCAAUGGGGGAAACCCUGACGCAGCGACGCCGCGUGAGUGAUGAAGGCCUUCGGGUUGUAAAGCUCUGUUCUUAGGGAAUAAAAAAAUGAAGGUACCUAAGAAGAAAGGACCGGCUAACUUCGUGCCAGCAGCCGCGGUAAUACGAGGGGUCCUAGCGUUGUUCGGAAUUAUUGGGCGUAAAGCGGGUGCAGGUGGUUUUAUAAGUCAGAAGUGAAAGCCCCGGGCUCAACCCGGGAAGGGCUUUUGAUACUGUAGAACUUGAGUGUAGGAGAGGAUAGUAGAAUUCCUGGUGUAGUGGUGAAAUACGUAGAUAUCAGGAGGAAUACCGGUGAGGAAGCUGGCUGUCUGGCCUAACACUGACACUCAUACCCGAAAGCGUGGGGAGCAAACAGGAUUAGAUACCC
Molecule: ribosomal RNA, 764 nt
Filed under: uncultured bacterium
Lineage: Bacteria
Description: bacterial SSU rRNA
Rfam family: Bacterial small subunit ribosomal RNA
Source: RNAcentral